This 1884-nucleotide long non-coding RNA is filed under the name Trifolium pratense (red clover). RNAcentral describes it as "long non-coding RNA (TPRA_LNC001838)". Lineage: Eukaryota; Viridiplantae; Streptophyta; Magnoliopsida; Fabales; Fabaceae. The record is from RNAcentral.
AUGUAUUAGUAAUAUAAAAUAGGAACUUAGUAAUUCAUUUCAAUUCAUUGACUGCAACAUCAAGAGCAAAAGAAACUCAAACUCUUAUUUCUUUCUUCUCCACCGAAACUCACUCUCUCCACUAUAUCAUUCCCAAAUUCUUAGCCAAAUCCACAUGCAACCUCACUCUAAUGGUAGUAGAACCUUAAGGAAUCAAGUAUGAAAGAAACAACUCCUCCCCUUCCUCUCAAAAGGGCGUGAAUCCCCAUCUCACAACCAAAGGGGCAAUCUCUAAUUUCACAUGAUUUGGUCAUGCAUGUGUUAAAUUAAUAGCAUCUUCUGAGUUGAUCAAGGAUUAAGGGAUUUAAGGACCAUAAUAACAGUGAGUAAGUGGAAGAUGGAAAAGCNNNNNNNNNNNNNNNNNNNNNAGGGAGGCAGUAGAAUCAUGGAGAUUUGGAGAACUAGAUUGGUGAAAUAGGAAUUGGGAAUUGGAAGAAGUAUGUGAAACCCAUAUUCUGGACAGGGUUUCACUAAAAUGGUCAGUACUCUCUCCUCGUAACUCUGAUUUAAAUUCCGUUUGUUUCUAGUUAGCUAACGAAAUUCCAGUCGUUUAGAUGCCAAUUUCGUGAACUGGGGAGCUUUAACGAAUUCAGGAGACGCGUCUGAAGUCCAGGGUCAGAUGCAGAAUUUUGGAUUGAAUUAGCAUCGUUGUCAUCUUAUGAGUUAUUGGAAAUUCAAAUGGAGCCUUAAAGGUUGAUUUUGGAGUACAAGACAGUAGUUGCUCUUUCUUGGAUUUCAGGUGGGUUUAUCUUUAAGUAGAAACAUGGCAACCAUAAGUCCAAAGCAUAGUGUUUUAUUUCAUCAUUUAUGUUUAUGGCAUGAUUAGUAACCUAGACAACUCAUAAAUUGAUUAAUGAUGAAAUUGGACUUAAUUCGCAUUGCAUGUGACUGUAAUUAGUUGUAUCCAUCAUGAUUAGAAUGUUAGAAAUAGUUAGAGACUGUUUAGAAUUGUGAUUCUGCAGGUUUACCACAUUUUUCCAUGAUUCAUGAAUCGGUCCAAGGAGAGUUUGAGCCUGUGCAAUUGGUAAGUUUGCACCGGUGCAAGCCAACUUUGAACCGGAGCAUGAAACCCAACUUUGACCCCUAUGCAGUCCAGGAGCACUGAUGAACUGGUGCAAGUUAGUCUUCAACCGGUGAAUCCUGACUAAAACAGUUUUAAAUGUGAGAAGUACCUAAUCAUCAUGGAUAUAACCGAUCGUACAUGUUUAAAAUAUGAGAAUAGGUAGCAAACUGAAUUAGAAACCUACACAGGGAUCUAAUGGAUCAGUUAGGAUUUCCCCGAGAUGGGUAAUUAUGUUAAGAUAUCAGAAUUAUUGUAGUUGAUCAGUUAGUGGUUGAUCCCGAACCACAGAUUAUGUAGCCUUGGGCUAUGAGACUAGCGUAUGCUAGGAGAGAUUCUACACUGUUAGUGAGAAUCAGUUUAGUUAAAUUGUGAGCUGAUGUGGUUCUCUGAUCUACAUUUAAUAUCAGGGACCAUAGCACGACCUUCGAGAACCGCUCACCUCGAAGUGUCCGUGAGUUAUAAAAACAACCAAGAUAAGUUUGUGUGAUACACCUUUAUUUAUACUAUGCUAUUCUUUAAUGAAUAUGAGUUACUAGUGAUCAACUAUUUGCAAGACCCUGGUGUUAGUACACCAAGUAGAGGGUAGUAAGAAACUCACUGAGACUUAGUAGUCUCACUCCACGAUUAUUUGAUUUUAGGUAACAUGUUGCUCGUUCAAGAAGCUGAGGAUUGGACGGGACAAUGAGAUUAAGGAAGACUGUUCGAUGUUUACCUGUUUCAAUCUUAAUAAACACUUGUAUAGGAUUAUGCUACAUGUACAUGUAUUUAGCGGUUACCAUNNN